UCGCGGCCUAUCAGCUUGUUGGUGAGGUAACGGCUCACCAAGGCUUCGACGGGUAGCUGGUCUGAGAGGACGAUCAGCCACACUGGGACUGAGACACGGCCCAGACUCCUACGGGAGGCAGCAGUUAGGAAUCUUGCACAAUGGGGGAAACCCUGAUGCAGCGACGCCGCGUGCGGGACGAAGGCCCUCGGGUCGUAAACCGCUUUCAGCAGGAACGAAAUUGACGGUACCUGCAGAAGAAGCUCCGGCCAACUACGUGCCAGCAGCCGCGGUAAUACGUAGGGAGCGAGCGUUGUCCGGAUUCAUUGGGCGUAAAGAGCUCGUAGGCGGUUCGGUAAGUCGGGUGUGAAAUCUCCGUGCUCAACACGGAGCGGCCACCUGAUACUGCCGUGACUCGAGUCCGGUAGGGGAGUGUGGAAU
This 420-nucleotide ribosomal RNA is filed under the name uncultured bacterium. RNAcentral's name for it is "bacterial SSU rRNA". It matches the Rfam family "Bacterial small subunit ribosomal RNA", at positions 231 to 667 of the family's 1533-position model. The record is from RNAcentral.